This is a non-coding RNA of Cucumis melo (muskmelon), 213 nucleotides long. The record is from Rfam. Lineage: Eukaryota; Viridiplantae; Streptophyta; Magnoliopsida; Cucurbitales; Cucurbitaceae.
ACGACCUUACUUGAACAGGAUCUGUUCUAUAGGUUGUACAAUUGUGUCCUUGAGUUCUAAGGAGACAAGAACCUAAGUCCGGUGGAUGAGUUUGUGCCAUGUGACUAGAGCGUGAAUAAUGGCUCAUAGACCCAUGGUCUAGUAGUGGCUGUAGAGGAUUGUUCUCGACAAGUAUGGUCUUGUUGGGAUGGUUGCAAGGUAGUCUGACGGUCU